RNAcentral lists this ribosomal RNA (560 nucleotides) under Enterococcus hirae. RNAcentral's name for it is "bacterial SSU rRNA". It matches the Rfam family "Bacterial small subunit ribosomal RNA", at positions 73 to 612 of the family's 1533-position model. The record is from RNAcentral. Lineage: Bacteria; Bacillati; Bacillota; Bacilli; Lactobacillales; Enterococcaceae.
CCGGAGCUUGCUCCACCGGAAAAAGAGGAGUGGCGAACGGGUGAGUAACACGUGGGUAACCUGCCCAUCAGAAGGGGAUAACACUUGGAAACAGGUGCUAAUACCGUAUAACAAUCGAAACCGCAUGGUUUUGAUUUGAAAGGCGCUUUCGGGUGUCGCUGAUGGAUGGACCCGCGGUGCAUUAGCUAGUUGGUGAGGUAACGGCUCACCAAGGCGACGAUGCAUAGCCGACCUGAGAGGGUGAUCGGCCACAUUGGGACUGAGACACGGCCCAAACUCCUACGGGAGGCAGCAGUAGGGAAUCUUCGGCAAUGGACGAAAGUCUGACCGAGCAACGCCGCGUGAGUGAAGAAGGUUUUCGGAUCGUAAAACUCUGUUGUUAGAGAAGAACAAGGAUGAGAGUAACUGUUCAUCCCUUGACGGUAUCUAACCAGAAAGCCACGGCUAACUACGUGCCAGCAGCCGCGGUAAUACGUAGGUGGCAAGCGUUGUCCGGAUUUAUUGGGCGUAAAGCGAGCGCAGGCGGUUUCUUAAGUCUGAUGUGAAAGCCCCCGGCUCAA